Molecule: ribosomal RNA, 403 nt
Filed under: uncultured bacterium
Lineage: Bacteria
Description: bacterial SSU rRNA
Rfam family: Bacterial small subunit ribosomal RNA
Source: RNAcentral
UGGGGAAUCUUAGACAAUGGGGGCAACCCUGAUCUAGCCAUGCCGCGUGAGUGAUGAAGGCCUUAGGGUUGUAAAGCUCUUUCAGCUGUGAAGAUAAUGACGGUAGCAGCAGAAGAAGUCCCGGCUAACUCCGUGCCAGCAGCCGCGGUAAUACGGAGGGGACUAGCGUUGUUCGGAAUUACUGGGCGUAAAGCGCACGUAGGCGGAUCGGAAAGUUGGGGGUGAAAUCCCGGGGCUCAACCCCGGAACUGCCUUCAAAACUAUCGGUCUGGAGUUCGAGAGAGGUGAGUGGAAUUCCGAGUGUAGAGGUGAAAUUCGUAGAUAUUCGGAGGAACACCAGUGGCGAAGGCGGCUCACUGGCUCGAUACUGACGCUGAGGUGCGAAAGCGUGGGGAGCAAACAG